RNAcentral lists this ribosomal RNA (2886 nucleotides) under Staphylococcus aureus M1382. RNAcentral's name for it is "bacterial LSU rRNA". It matches the Rfam family "Bacterial large subunit ribosomal RNA". The record is from RNAcentral. RNAcentral also lists the same sequence under 5 other names. Lineage: Bacteria; Bacillati; Bacillota; Bacilli; Caryophanales; Staphylococcaceae.
UUAAGUUAUUAAGGGCGCACGGUGGAUGCCUUGGCACUAGAAGCCGAUGAAGGACGUUACUAACGACGAUAUGCUUUGGGGAGCUGUAAGUAAGCUUUGAUCCAGAGAUUUCCGAAUGGGGAAACCCAGCAUGAGUUAUGUCAUGUUAUCGAUAUGUGAAUACAUAGCAUAUCAGAAGGCACACCCGGAGAACUGAAACAUCUUAGUACCCGGAGGAAGAGAAAGAAAAUUCGAUUCCCUUAGUAGCGGCGAGCGAAACGGGAAGAGCCCAAACCAACAAGCUUGCUUGUUGGGGUUGUAGGACACUCUAUACGGAGUUACAAAGGACGACAUUAGACGAAUCAUCUGGAAAGAUGAAUCAAAGAAGGUAAUAAUCCUGUAGUCGAAAAUGUUGUCUCUCUUGAGUGGAUCCUGAGUACGACGGAGCACGUGAAAUUCCGUCGGAAUCUGGGAGGACCAUCUCCUAAGGCUAAAUACUCUCUAGUGACCGAUAGUGAACCAGUACCGUGAGGGAAAGGUGAAAAGCACCCCGGAAGGGGAGUGAAAUAGAACCUGAAACCGUGUGCUUACAAGUAGUCAGAGCCCGUUAAUGGGUGAUGGCGUGCCUUUUGUAGAAUGAACCGGCGAGUUACGAUUUGAUGCAAGGUUAAGCAGUAAAUGUGGAGCCGUAGCGAAAGCGAGUCUGAAUAGGGCGUUUAGUAUUUGGUCGUAGACCCGAAACCAGGUGAUCUACCCUUGGUCAGGUUGAAGUUCAGGUAACACUGAAUGGAGGACCGAACCGACUUACGUUGAAAAGUGAGCGGAUGAACUGAGGGUAGCGGAGAAAUUCCAAUCGAACCUGGAGAUAGCUGGUUCUCUCCGAAAUAGCUUUAGGGCUAGCCUCAAGUGAUGAUUAUUGGAGGUAGAGCACUGUUUGGACGAGGGGCCCCUCUCGGGUUACCGAAUUCAGACAAACUCCGAAUGCCAAUUAAUUUAACUUGGGAGUCAGAACAUGGGUGAUAAGGUCCGUGUUCGAAAGGGAAACAGCCCAGACCACCAGCUAAGGUCCCAAAAUAUAUGUUAAGUGGAAAAGGAUGUGGCGUUGCCCAGACAACUAGGAUGUUGGCUUAGAAGCAGCCAUCAUUUAAAGAGUGCGUAAUAGCUCACUAGUCGAGUGACACUGCGCCGAAAAUGUACCGGGGCUAAACAUAUUACCGAAGCUGUGGAUUGUCCUUUGGACAAUGGUAGGAGAGCGUUCUAAGGGCGUUGAAGCAUGAUCGUAAGGACAUGUGGAGCGCUUAGAAGUGAGAAUGCCGGUGUGAGUAGCGAAAGACGGGUGAGAAUCCCGUCCACCGAUUGACUAAGGUUUCCAGAGGAAGGCUCGUCCGCUCUGGGUUAGUCGGGUCCUAAGCUGAGGCCGACAGGCGUAGGCGAUGGAUAACAGGUUGAUAUUCCUGUACCACCUAUAAUCGUUUUAAUCGAUGGGGGGACGCAGUAGGAUAGGCGAAGCGUGCGAUUGGAUUGCACGUCUAAGCAGUAAGGCUGAGUAUUAGGCAAAUCCGGUACUCGUUAAGGCUGAGCUGUGAUGGGGAGAAGACAUUGUGUCUUCGAGUCGUUGAUUUCACACUGCCGAGAAAAGCCUCUAGAUAGAAAAUAGGUGCCCGUACCGCAAACCGACACAGGUAGUCAAGAUGAGAAUUCUAAGGUGAGCGAGCGAACUCUCGUUAAGGAACUCGGCAAAAUGACCCCGUAACUUCGGGAGAAGGGGUGCUCUUUAGGGUUAACGCCCAGAAGAGCCGCAGUGAAUAGGCCCAAGCGACUGUUUAUCAAAAACACAGGUCUCUGCUAAACCGUAAGGUGAUGUAUAGGGGCUGACGCCUGCCCGGUGCUGGAAGGUUAAGAGGAGUGGUUAGCUUCUGCGAAGCUACGAAUCGAAGCCCCAGUAAACGGCGGCCGUAACUAUAACGGUCCUAAGGUAGCGAAAUUCCUUGUCGGGUAAGUUCCGACCCGCACGAAAGGCGUAACGAUUUGGGCACUGUCUCAACGAGAGACUCGGUGAAAUCAUAGUACCUGUGAAGAUGCAGGUUACCCGCGACAGGACGGAAAGACCCCGUGGAGCUUUACUGUAGCCUGAUAUUGAAAUUCGGCACAGCUUGUACAGGAUAGGUAGGAGCCUUUGAAACGUGAGCGCUAGCUUACGUGGAGGCGCUGGUGGGAUACUACCCUAGCUGUGUUGGCUUUCUAACCCGCACCACUUAUCGUGGUGGGAGACAGUGUCAGGCGGGCAGUUUGACUGGGGCGGUCGCCUCCUAAAAGGUAACGGAGGCGCUCAAAGGUUCCCUCAGAAUGGUUGGAAAUCAUUCAUAGAGUGUAAAGGCAUAAGGGAGCUUGACUGCGAGACCUACAAGUCGAGCAGGGUCGAAAGACGGACUUAGUGAUCCGGUGGUUCCGCAUGGAAGGGCCAUCGCUCAACGGAUAAAAGCUACCCCGGGGAUAACAGGCUUAUCUCCCCCAAGAGUUCACAUCGACGGGGAGGUUUGGCACCUCGAUGUCGGCUCAUCGCAUCCUGGGGCUGUAGUCGGUCCCAAGGGUUGGGCUGUUCGCCCAUUAAAGCGGUACGCGAGCUGGGUUCAGAACGUCGUGAGACAGUUCGGUCCCUAUCCGUCGUGGGCGUAGGAAAUUUGAGAGGAGCUGUCCUUAGUACGAGAGGACCGGGAUGGACAUACCUCUGGUGUACCAGUUGUCGUGCCAACGGCAUAGCUGGGUAGCUAUGUGUGGACGGGAUAAGUGCUGAAAGCAUCUAAGCAUGAAGCCCCCCUCAAGAUGAGAUUUCCCAACUUCGGUUAUAAGAUCCCUCAAAGAUGAUGAGGUUAAUAGGUUCGAGGUGGAAGCAUGGUGACAUGUGGA